Molecule: ribosomal RNA, 400 nt
Filed under: uncultured bacterium
Lineage: Bacteria
Description: SSU rRNA
Rfam family: Eukaryotic small subunit ribosomal RNA
Source: RNAcentral
GCAAGUCUGGUGCCAGCAGCCGCGGUAAUUCCAGCUCCAAUAGCGUAUAUUAAAGUUGUUGCAGUUAAAAAGCUCGUAGUUGAACCUUGGGUCUGGCUGGCCGGUCCGCCUCACCGCGAGUACUGGUCCGGCUGGACCUUUCCUUCUGGGGAACCUCAUGGCCUUCACUGGCUGUGGGGGGAACCAGGACUUUUACUGUGAAAAAAUUAGAGUGUUCAAAGCAGGCCUUUGCUCGAAUACAUUAGCAUGGAAUAAUAGAAUAGGACGUGCGGUUCUAUUUUGUUGGUUUCUAGGGCCGCCGUAAUGAUUAAUAGGGAUAGUCGGGGGCGUCAGUAUUCAGCUGUCAGAGGUGAAAUUCUUGGAUUUGCUGAAGACUAACUACUGCGAAAGCAUUUGCCAA